UGGGGAAUAUUGGACAAUGGGGGAAACCCUGAUCCAGCGAUGCCGCGUGUAUGAAGAAGGCCUGCGGGUUGUAAAGUACUUUAGUUUGGGAGGAAGCUUUGUAGGUUCAGAGCUAACAAAGUUGACGUUACCGAAAGAAUAAGCACCGGCUAACUCUGUGCCAGCAGCCGCGGUAAGACAGAGGGUGCAAGCGUUAAUCGGAAUUACUGGGCGUAAAGGGCGCGUAGGCGGUUUAUUAAGUUGACUGUGAAAGACUUGGGCUUAACCUGGGGCAGUCAGUCAAAACUGGUAGACUGGAGUGAGUGAGAGGAGAGUGGAAUUUCCGGUGUAGCGGUGAAAUGCGUAGAUAUCGGAAAGAACAUCGAUGGCGAAGGCAACUCUCUGGCACUUAACUGACGCU
This 400-nucleotide ribosomal RNA is filed under the name uncultured bacterium. RNAcentral's name for it is "bacterial SSU rRNA". It matches the Rfam family "Bacterial small subunit ribosomal RNA", at positions 355 to 747 of the family's 1533-position model. The record is from RNAcentral.